RNAcentral lists this ribosomal RNA (324 nucleotides) under uncultured eukaryote. RNAcentral's name for it is "partial 18S ribosomal RNA". It matches the Rfam family "Eukaryotic small subunit ribosomal RNA", at positions 1470 to 1796 of the family's 1831-position model. The record is from RNAcentral.
CCCUUAGAUGUUCUGGGCUGCACGCGCGCUGCACUGAUGCGAUCAACAAGUUUUUCCUAUGUCGAUAGACACGGGUAAUCUUUUGAACUCGCAUCGUGAUGGGGAUAGAUUAUUGUAAUUAUUAAUCUUCAACGAGGAAUUCCUAGUAGGUGCAAAUCAUCAGUUUGCAUCGAUUACGUCCCUGCCCUUUGUACACACCGCCCGUCGCUGCUACCGAUUGGUUGAUCUGGUGAAUUAUUCGGACUGCCGGCUGAAGGGGUUUCCUCAUCUGCCAGCGGAAAGUCUUGUUAACCCUAUCAACUAGAGGAAGCAGAAGUCGUAACA